CCUACGGGAGGCAGCAGUGGGGGAUAUUGCACAAUGGGGGAAACCCUGAUGCAGCGACGCCGCGUGGGCGAAGAAGUAUUUCGGUAUGUAAAGCCCUAUCAGCAGGGAAGAAGAAAUGACGGUACCUGACUAAGAAGCCCCGGCUAACUACGUGCCAGCAGCCGCGGUAAUACGUAGGGGGCGAGCGUUAUCCGGAUUCACUGGGUGUAAAGGGAGCGUAGACGGCCAUGCAAGCCAGGGGUGAAAGCCCGGGGGCCAACCCCGGGACUGCCCUUGGAACUGCAUGGCUGGAGUGCGGGAGGGGCAGGCGGAAUGCGUGGUGUAGCGGUGAAAUGCGUAGAUAUCAGGAGGAACACCGGCGGCGAAGGCGGCCUGCUGGACUGCGACUGACGUUGAGGCUCGAAAGCGUGGGGAGCGAACAGGAUUAGAUACCCGGGUAGUC
RNAcentral lists this ribosomal RNA (442 nucleotides) under uncultured bacterium. RNAcentral's name for it is "partial 16S ribosomal RNA". It matches the Rfam family "Bacterial small subunit ribosomal RNA", at positions 338 to 795 of the family's 1533-position model. The record is from RNAcentral.